CAGAGGGUGCAAACGUUGUUCGGAAUUACUGGGCGUAAAGCGCGUGUAGGCGGUCGGGCAAGUCGGAUGUGAAAGCCCAGGGCUCAACCCUGGAAGUGCACUCGAUACUGCUCGGCUAGAGUCCCGGAGAGGAUGGUGGAACUCUCGGUGUAGAGGUGAAAUUCGUAGAUAUCGAGAAGAACACCGGUGGCGAAGGCGGCCAUCUGGACGGUGACUGACGCUGAGACGCGAAAGCGUGGGGAGCAAACAGGAUUAGAUACCCUGGUAGUCCACGCCGUAAACGAUGGGUGCUAGGUGUCACGGGUAUUGACCCCUGUGGUGCCGAAGCUAACGCAUUAAGCACCCCGCCUGGGAAGUACGGCCGCAAGGCUA
This 372-nucleotide ribosomal RNA is filed under the name uncultured organism. RNAcentral describes it as "bacterial SSU rRNA". It matches the Rfam family "Bacterial small subunit ribosomal RNA", at positions 526 to 896 of the family's 1533-position model. The record is from RNAcentral.